Long non-coding RNA from Rosa chinensis, 1389 nucleotides. RefSeq lists it as uncharacterized. NCBI's taxonomy places the organism in Eukaryota, Viridiplantae, Streptophyta, Magnoliopsida, Rosales, Rosaceae. The transcript is spliced from 5 exons. The record is from RefSeq and is a predicted model, not a curated record.
GAUCAAACACUACAGGAAAAAGGUAAAUCUCUCCCUCUCAUAUCAAAGGGUAAACCUCCAAUACCCAAAUUCGUUUGUAGACCCAACCCGUCCAAAUCCCUCAACCUCACACUAGCAAAAACCACCGGCAGAGGCGUCGAUUGCAGAUCAGCCGCCGUCAAUUCCAAGAGCCACUCUCCAAUUCCUCGGCCUUUCCUUCUCCGCUGCUGAUAAACAAUAACCAGCCCGACUUUGUCGGUGAUGAGAAUAUGCCCUUGGAAGGUGUCAUACUGUCAUUCAGUUCGACAAGCCCAGCUCCUCUGCUCGAAUCAGAAAAUGGGGAUGAAUCCUGGUAUGGUUUUGGUUGAUGCUUUUGGUCAGAUACUUGGAUUCUACAACCUUCUGAGAGGAAAAGUAGUUGCUAGAAAUGAUGGUAUGUGACCAAGUCUUUAUCAGGAAGCUGCUACUGGUUUAAUUGCUGGAGCAGCUGGAGUGUAUCUCAGCUUUCCAUUUGCUGUAGCUUGUCAACAUAAGCAGGUUGAAUCCAUGGGACCAAUUGCAGAGCGUUCGAGAAUCAUAAGUAAAAGUGUGUUACAAAUAUUGAGAUAUGGAGGCCCUUGGUUGAAGAGAGGAGCUGGGUUAGGCCUGGGUGCGAGGGCUAUUUCAGCAUUCUGUGCCGCUGCUUGAGCUGAACUAGCACAACAAGCUAGCUCCUUCAAUUCUGCGCGUCAAACUCUAAACAAAAGGACCCGUUGCAUUCUGUGAUUCAACUGAGUUUGAAGAGUCGGUUGCACAAGUAAGCUAUAUUGCUUUCCUUAGCAUUGGAUGUUGGACCUAUGAUAGCCAGUGAAAGACUGGAAAUUGAUGAUGAAAUUAAGGAUCAUGACAUACGGUCGUGCCUUCUGUUUUCUGAACCAUUUCUACUGCUGGUAUAUGACCAAAUGACACAGCUUGCAUCAGUCCACGCACAAUGCAAUUGACUUGUGAUACCAGCCCCAGCCAUCAAUGAUGCGUAUCGACUCGAAAUGCCUCAAAUUGUUCCAGAUUCGCAGCUGAACUGAAAGGGUUGGUUUCACUUACCAUUAUCUAGUUUGAUGGUUAUGUUGUUGUCUACUUUGAGUUAGUCCUCAAAGCAUUUUGAUGGAAAUUAUUCUUAGACAAGGAUUAUGUUGUUAAAGGGGGAAAAUCUUAGUGAUAUUUCACCUUCAACAACAAUGUAUUCUAGAAAGCAGCUUGUUUUUGUAAUCCCAGAAUUUACUUUGGUACAAAAUGUAUUUUGCUAGGAAUGUAAAUAAGAUCUUGCUAUGAAUGUAAAAUUUAAUAUUUUCGAUUGAGUUGUGGAUUUGUUCACUUCAUUGUAAAUAUUUGAAGUAUAUUUAUUGUAGAGAAAUAAAAGUAUUAUUAUGUUCA